AACGAACGCUGGCGGCAUGCCUAACACAUGCAAGUCGAACGAGACCUUCGGGUCUAGUUGCGCACGGGUGCGUAACGCGUGGGAACCGGCCCUUAGGUUCGGAAUAACUCCCCGAAAGGGGUGCUAAUGCCGGAUAAUGUCUUCGGACCAAAGAUUUAUCGCCUUUGGAUGGGCCCGCGUUGUAUUAGCUAGUUGGUAGUGUAAAAGCCUACCACGGCGACGAUCCAUAGCUGGUCUGAGAGGAUGAUCAGCCACACUGGGACGGAGACACGGCCCAGACUCCUACGCGAGGCAGCAGUGGGGAAUAUUGGACAAUGGGCGAAAGCCUGAUCCAGCAAGGCCGCGUGAGUGAUGAAGGCCUUAGGGUUGUAAAGCUCUUUUACCCGGGAUGAUAAUGACAGUACCGGGAGAAUAAGCUCCGGCUAACUCCGUG
Molecule: ribosomal RNA, 433 nt
Filed under: uncultured bacterium
Lineage: Bacteria
Description: partial 16S ribosomal RNA
Rfam family: Bacterial small subunit ribosomal RNA
Source: RNAcentral